CCUACGGGAGGCAGCAGUGAGGAAUAUUGGUCAAUGGACGCGAGUCUGAACCAGCCAAGCCGCGUGAAGGAUGACUGCUCUAUGAGUUGUAAACUGCUUUUGUAAGAGGGUAAUAUCAGAUACGUGUAUCUGCUUGUAAGUAUCGUACGAAUAAGGAUCGGCUAACUCCGUGCCAGCAGCCGCGGUAAUACGGAGGAUCCAAGCGUUAUCCGGAUUUAUUGGGUUUAAAGGGUGCGUAGGCGGGUUUAUAAGUUAGUGGUGAAAAUUCGCGGCUCAACGCCGGACGUGCCAUUAAUACUGUAAGACUAGAGAACAGAUGCGGUAGGCGGAAUGUAUGGUGUAGCGGUGAAAUGCGUAGAGAUCAUACAGAACACCGAUUGCGAAGGCAGCUUACCAAACUAUAUCUGACGUUGAGGCACGAAAGCGUGGGGAGCAAACAGGAUUAGAUACCCCAGUAGUC
RNAcentral lists this ribosomal RNA (460 nucleotides) under uncultured bacterium. RNAcentral's name for it is "partial 16S ribosomal RNA". It matches the Rfam family "Bacterial small subunit ribosomal RNA", at positions 338 to 795 of the family's 1533-position model. The record is from RNAcentral.